UAGCGUUAUUCGGAAUUUUUGGGGGUAAGGGGCGCGUAGGCGGAUUAGUAAGUUAAAAGUGAAAUCCCAAGGCUCAACCUUGGAAUUGCUUUUAAAACUGCUAAUCUAGAGAUGAAAAGAGGAUAGAGGAAUUCCUAGUGUAGAGGUGAAAUUCGUAAAUAUUAGGAGGAACACCAGUGGCGAAGGCGUCUAUCUGGUUCAAAUCUGACGCUGAGGCGCGAAGGCGUGGGGAGCAAACAGGAUUAGAUACCCUGGUAGUCCACGCUGUAAACGAUGAAUGUUAAAUAUGGGAAGUUUUACUUUCUGUAUUACAGCUAACGCGUUAAACAUUCCGCCUGGGGACUACGGUCGCAAGAUUAAAACUCAAAGGAAUUGACGGGGACCCGCACAAGCGGUGGAGCAUGUGGUUUAAUUCGAUGCAACGCGAAAAACCUUACCACUCCUUGACAUGGAAAUUAUACCUAUUCGAAGGGAUAGGGUCGGUUCGUCCGGGUUUCACACAGGUGUUGCAUGGCUGUCGUCAGCUCGUGUCGUGAGAUGUUGGGUUAAGUCCCGCAACGAGCGCAACCCUCAUCCUUAGUUACCAUCAGGUAAUGCUGGGGACUUUAAGGAAACUGCCAGUGAUAAACUGGAGGAAGGUGGGGAUGAUGUCAAGUCAUCAUGGCCCUUAUGGAGUGGGCUACACACGUGCUACAAUGGUGGCUACAAUGGGCUGCAAAGUCGCGAGGCUAAGCUAAUCCCUUAAAAGCCAUCUCAGUUCGGAUUGUACUCUGCAACUCGAGUGCAUGAAGUUGGAAUCGCUAGUAAUCGUGGAUCAGCACGCCACGGUGAAUACGUUCUCGGGUCUUGUACACACUGCCCGUCACGCCAUGGGAAUUGGUUUCACUCGAAGCUAACGACCUACAAGGAAGGAGGGAGUUAUUUAAAGUGGGAUCG
This 936-nucleotide ribosomal RNA is filed under the name uncultured bacterium. RNAcentral describes it as "bacterial SSU rRNA". It matches the Rfam family "Bacterial small subunit ribosomal RNA", at positions 536 to 1470 of the family's 1533-position model. The record is from RNAcentral.